GGUCUGUUAAGCGUCUUGUGAAAUCCCUCGGACUCAACCGAGAAUUGCUUGCGCGAACUGGUCGGGCUUGAGGCAGGUAGAGGCGCGCGGAACUCUUGGUGGAGCGGUGAAAUGCGUAGAUAUCAAGGGGAACGCCAGCGGCGAAAGCGGCGCGCUGGGCCUGAACUGACGCUGAGGUGCGAAAGCUAGGGGAGCGAACGGGAUUAGAUACCCCGGGUAGUCCUAGCCGUAAACGAUGUCCACUAGGUUGGAGGUUCUUUGACGGAUUCCCAACCGUAGCGAAAGCGUUAAGUGGACCGCCUGGGGAGUACGGUCGCAAGGCUAAAACUCAAAGGAAUUGACGGGGGCUCACACAAGCGGUGGAGCAUGUUGCUCAAUUCGAUGCAACGCGAAGAACCUUAUCCUGGGAUUGAAAAGCACGGAUACGUCCUCUGAAAGGAGUACCGUUGCCCUUCGGGGUGAAACGUGUACAGGUGCUGCAUGGCUGUCGUCAGCUCGUGUCGUGAGAUGUUGGGUUAAGUCCCGUAACGAGCGAAACCCUUGUCGUUAGUUGCCAGCGCUUAUGGCGGGGACUCUAGCGAGACUGCCGGUGUUAACCCGGAGGAAGGUGGGGAUGACGUCAAUCCUCAUGGCUUU
This 636-nucleotide ribosomal RNA is filed under the name uncultured bacterium. Its description in RNAcentral is "bacterial SSU rRNA". It matches the Rfam family "Bacterial small subunit ribosomal RNA", at positions 577 to 1202 of the family's 1533-position model. The record is from RNAcentral.